RNAcentral lists this non-coding RNA (27 nucleotides) under Homo sapiens (human). The record is from RNAcentral. Lineage: Eukaryota; Metazoa; Chordata; Mammalia; Primates; Hominidae.
UGAGUGGACCCAACGUGGUGCUGGAUU